Molecule: long non-coding RNA, 2403 nt
Organism: Cercocebus atys (sooty mangabey)
Lineage: Eukaryota; Metazoa; Chordata; Mammalia; Primates; Cercopithecidae
Exons: 3
Source: RefSeq, a predicted model, not a curated record
GCUGGCUUGAUAAGUCUUCAGCUCACAGCCCAGCCCCAGCCACGGGAUCCUGAGCCCCAACUCGUUUACAGUCCCUGCAUGGGCAUCUUCCCCACAGCUGCAACUGUCCCUCUGCCGGCCCUGCUGCUGCCUUCUGGAAUGUGGGCCCCAGGAAAGGAAGUCUGUCCCCGGGCACCUGCAGAAGCAGCUCUUCCUCUGGGCUGCUGUGGGCUGCUGGGCUCCAGGGUCCUGCCCCAGCACUCAGGCCACCUCCUCUCAGUGACUUAAGAGUUUGAACUGGAUCUGAAGACCAACUACACUGUAAAGCAUUCAAAAGAAGAUGACAUUAAAGAGAAGACUCCCAAGAGCAUAGAAUUACACUACUAAGGAGAGCGAUGGAAACGAACCAGAGAGAAGGGAAAAUGUGAUGGAACAGCCUCCGCAGCUGCUAAGGACGCUGAGCUGGUAAAGUCAUAUGGAAAGGCAAGCACGCGAUCGGCGUGAAUGUCAGCAGAGUGGUUAGCUCUGGGGGAGGGAAGGCCAGCCGUGGGAGGGAGUUGAGGCCAGCGGUGGUUCUGGAUAGACCAAAAUGUGUUAUUUCUGGAGCCGGGUGGUGACUUCUUGGGGCUUCGCUUUGUGAUAAGUCAUUGAGCUGUGUGCUUGUUUUGUACCCUUUUCCAUAUAUGUAUUAUAUUUCACAAUAGGACAGGCUUAAAAAAAGAGGCAGAAACGCUCAGGAAAUGAAGUGCGUCACUCCGCAGAGGAAGGACCUGCCCUUGGAGUGCCACCAGCUGGAGCGGGCAGCGCCUGUGGAUCCAGGGCAUCUUCUGCCUUCUCUCUUUACCCACCGGCCUGUCUUCCAGGUUCACCAACAAACUGGUGUUGGUGGCGCUUAGUGGUGGGUCCGCGUUCCCAGUGCCGGCACGAGCAGGUGAUGCAGCGUCCUCCCCCGGGUGCCCGACUCCACUGCAUAACCAGGCAGUCACGCCAGGCAGGGGCCGGAAUGGCCUCUCCACUGUCCUUCCCCAUCGAAGCCACUCUGGCUGAGAGCUCAGAAAAAUGAGGAGGCCUCACGCCCAGCCCUACGAGCCAGCCUUAGGAGGCAGCACUCAGCUGCCCAGCCAUGAGGCGUUUCAGCCCACACCUGGGCCAGCUGGUGCAAGGAUGGACUCAAGUGGAUCUCCCCUCAACCACUUCCCUGGGCCCCACCUCUGAGCCCAUUGAGUGAGGAUGAUUAAUCCUGCCUCCCGAGGAUGGUUGCCUGGUUUCAGUGCACUGACACGUGAACAGCACGAGGCACUGCCCUGACAUGGGAAGGCCCGAUCACACGGCUUCCUUGCUUGGGACUGCCUUCCCUCCUUGAUCCCUCCCAGAUGCAUCCAAUGCCAGCCACCGUGCUGCCUUCUGGCUUUCAUUCUUCAGUUACCUCUCUCCUGUCUCAGGGUACCCUGCUGACCUCCCCUGAGCCCAGGUGGGAUAAUGAACCCUUCCCUGGCCCUCAUGGCCCCCAGUUUUCCCCAGCAGUGGUACUUGACACUCCCCUGUCCUCCCUCUGGGCAGGAGGCCUGGAGCACAGGGACUUGUCUUAUUCAGCUCUGGAUCCCAGGUGCUCCAGCACCUGCCCAGGGCCUGGACACAGGCGAGUGAGCCAUGCUCCUCAAGAAAUCCCAGAGGCCCAGAAGUACCAGCAGUUUGGGGGCAGCCACCAGCUGUCCAGAGCAGUCAGUCCCAACCCUCAGUUGGAUGUCUUUGGUUCUGCUGAUUAAUGUGGAUACAGCUCACUUUAAACCAUAGCAAUGUUGCUGAGGGCAAAUCGAAUGUACUAGUUUAAAUGCACCGAAGGGAUUCGCCAUCUAAAGAAAGCCUGUGAUGAGUUAGUACUUCCCAAGAGUAAAAGAUGCUUGUGUAAUGCAGCAAAGCCCAGCGACUUUUCCCCUCCUGCAUAAAUUCAGAUUCUGGACAUUGGGAGAGCCAGGGUUCUCCAGAAAUAGACUUUGGGAUGGCAAUUAGAAGGCAGGACAUUUAAUAGGGGGUGCUUUUGAGAUGCACUGGCAGGAAUCAGGGAAGGGGAGGAAACAGGAUGGGUGGAGGGAGGAGUUGGGCUAUGAGGCAGUCUCCCUGGAGGGUUCCGUGGUCCCCACUGGGACCUGCAAGCUGGAACCACACUUCAGAGUUGCUCCCUUAUGGGGUGAGGGAGCUAGACCUUUAUAUCCCAUGCUAGUCAAUCUUUGGGCCACCUCGGAAGGGGCCUGACCUUGAACGAGGCAGUCCUUGUAGGGACAGCCCAGGGCUCACUGCGGCACCCCCAACCCAGCAGCUGGGGGAAUAAGUCCUUCAUCCGUGAAGGGGAAUCUGGGUGCAAAUUUUCACAGGGAAAAAGAGGGGAACUGCCAUUGCUUGAGGGCCUACUAUGCACUCAGCCCU